AGCAGGGAGGCUCAGUGGUAAGAGCCCGGGCUUGGGAGUCAGAGGUCAUGGGUUCUAAUCCCAGCUCUGCCA
Molecule: transfer RNA, 72 nt
Filed under: Ornithorhynchus anatinus (platypus)
Lineage: Eukaryota; Metazoa; Chordata; Mammalia; Monotremata; Ornithorhynchidae
Rfam family: tRNA
About the family: Transfer RNA (tRNA) molecules are approximately 80 nucleotides in length. Their secondary structure includes four short double-helical elements and three loops (D, anti-codon, and T loops).
Source: Rfam by way of RNAcentral